RNAcentral lists this ribosomal RNA (433 nucleotides) under uncultured bacterium. RNAcentral describes it as "partial 16S ribosomal RNA". It matches the Rfam family "Bacterial small subunit ribosomal RNA", at positions 29 to 507 of the family's 1533-position model. The record is from RNAcentral.
AACGAACGCUGGCGGCAUGCCUAACACAUGCAAGUCGAACGAGACCUUCGGGUCUAGUGGCGCACGGGUGCGUAACGCGUCGGAACCUGCCCUUAGGCUCGGGAUAACUCCCCGAAAGGGGUGCUAAUACCGGGUAAUUUCUGCGGACCAAACAUUUAUCGUCUUUGUGUGGGCCCGCGUUGGUUUAGCUAGUUGGUAGGGUAAAAGCCUACCACGGCGACGAUACAUAGCUGGUCUGAGAGGAUGAUCAGCCACACUGGGACUGGGACACGGCCCAGACUCCUACGGGAGGCAGCAGUGGGGAAUAUUGGAAAAUGGGCGAAAGCCUGAUCCAGCAAUGCCGGGUGAGUGAUGAAGGCCUUAGGGUUGUAAAGCUCUUUUACCCGGGAUGAUAAUGACAGUACCGGGAGAAUAAGCUCCGGCUAACUCCGUG